GGCCUCCUUCUGCGGGGCAGUUGAUCUGGGGGCCCCAUGAUUGAUUGCCCCACAGAGGGAGGCC
Molecule: non-coding RNA, 64 nt
Organism: Myotis lucifugus (little brown bat)
Lineage: Eukaryota; Metazoa; Chordata; Mammalia; Chiroptera; Vespertilionidae
Source: Rfam